ACGUACACUCCUACGGGAGGCAGCAGUGGGGAAUUUUGGACAAUGGGCGAAAGCCUGAUCCAGCCAUGCCGCGUGCAGGAUGAAGGCCUUCGGGUUGUAAACUGCUUUUGUACGGAACGAAACGGCCUUUUCUAAUAAAGAGGGCUAAUGACGGUACCGUAAGAAUAAGCACCGGCUAACUACGUGCCAGCAGCCGCGGUAAUACGUAGGGUGCAAGCGUUAAUCGGAAUUACUGGGCGUAAAGCGUGCGCAGGCGGUUAUGUAAGACAGUUGUGAAAUCCCCGGGCUCAACCUGGGAACUGCAUCUGUGACUGCAUAGCUAGAGUACGGUAGAGGGGGAUGGAAUUCCGCGUGUAGCAGUGAAAUGCGUAGAUAUGCGGAGGAACACCGAUGGCGAAGGCAAUCCCCUGGACCUGUACUGACGCUCAUGCACGAAAGCGUGGGGAGCAAACAGGAUUAGAAACCCGGGUAGUCCCA
RNAcentral lists this ribosomal RNA (477 nucleotides) under uncultured organism. Its description in RNAcentral is "partial 16S ribosomal RNA". It matches the Rfam family "Bacterial small subunit ribosomal RNA", at positions 329 to 797 of the family's 1533-position model. The record is from RNAcentral.